Molecule: ribosomal RNA, 467 nt
Filed under: uncultured bacterium
Lineage: Bacteria
Description: partial 16S ribosomal RNA
Rfam family: Bacterial small subunit ribosomal RNA
Source: RNAcentral
GACGAACGCUGGCGGCGUGCUUAACACAUGCAAGUCGAACGCUGAAGCUUGGUGCUUGCACUGGGUGGAUGAGUGGCGAACGGGUGAGUAAUACGUGAGUAACCUGCCCUUGACUCUGGGAUAAGCCUGGGAAACUGGGUCUAAUACUGGAUACGACAUGCCACUGCAUGGUGGUGUGUGGAAAGGGUUUUACUGGUUUUGGAUGGGCUCACGGCCUGUCAGCUUGUUGGUGGGGUAAUGGCCUACCAAGGCGACGACGGGUAGCCGGCCUGAGAGGGUGACCGGCCACACUGGGACUGAGACACGGCCCAGACUCCUACGGGAGGCAGCAGUGGGGAAUAUUGGACAAUGGGCGAAAGCCUGAUCCAGCAAUGCCGCGUGGGUGAAGAAGGUCUUCGGAUCGUAAAGCCCUUUCGACGGGGACGAUGAUGACGGUACCCGUAGAAGAAGCCCCGGCUAACUUCGUG